Molecule: ribosomal RNA, 450 nt
Filed under: uncultured bacterium
Lineage: Bacteria
Description: bacterial SSU rRNA
Rfam family: Bacterial small subunit ribosomal RNA
Source: RNAcentral
GUGAGGAAUAUUGCGCAAUGGAGGCAACUCUGACGCAGCCAUGCCGCGUGCAGGAAGAAGGCCUUCGGGUUGUAAACUGCUUUUGUACGGAACGAAACGGUCCGGGUUAAUACCCUGGGCUAAUGACGGUACCGUAAGAAUAAGCACCGGCUAACUACGUGCCAGCAGCCGCGGUAAUACGUAGGGUGCAAGCGUUAAUCGGAAUUACUGGGCGUAAAGCGUGCGCAGGCGGUUUUGUAAGACAGGCGUGAAAUCCCCGGGCUCAACCUGGGAAUUGCGCUUGUGACUGCAAGGCUGGAGUGCGGCAGAGGGGGAUGGAAUUCCGCGUGUAGCAGUGAAAUGCGUAGAUAUGCGGAGGAACACCGAUGGCGAAGGCAAUCCCCUGGGCCUGCACUGACGCUCAUGCACGAAAGCGUGGGGAGCAAACAGGAUUAGAUACCCCGGUAGUCC